UUGGAGGGCAAGUCUGGUGCCAGCAGCCGCGGUAAUUCCAGCUCCAAUAGCGUAUAUUAAAGUUGUUGCAGUUAAAAAGCUCGUAGUUGAAUUUCGGGGUUAGUAGAUUGGUCAUGCCUCUGGUAUGUACUGGUCUUACUGAUUCCUCCUUCCUGAUGAACCGUAAUGCCUAUUUAUUUGGUGUUGCGGGGUAAUUUGGACUGUUACUUUAGAAAAAUUGAGUGUUUAAAGCAGGCUCACGCUUGAAUACAUUAGCAUGG
RNAcentral lists this ribosomal RNA (260 nucleotides) under Glomus sp. RNAcentral describes it as "partial small subunit ribosomal RNA". It matches the Rfam family "Eukaryotic small subunit ribosomal RNA", at positions 548 to 812 of the family's 1831-position model. The record is from RNAcentral. Lineage: Eukaryota; Fungi; Glomeromycota; Glomeromycetes; Glomerales; Glomeraceae.